GGCCGGCGCCUCUCUUCUCUCCAUGGCCGUGCCGACCGGGGUCUAGCUCGUCCUUUUCUCCCCCAGGAUCAAUAGAAAUAUGCAAAUUAAAUUUCUGCCGUUGGAUUAGAGGUGCACGCACUGGAUGAAAGACAAUUUGACCAGCACAUCCUGCAAGAGACGCCUGCCUCACUCUUCCGCAUUUGAAGAAAAUUCCUCUUCACGCUUUAGUUUUCCCCAGGACGCCUCAUCUAUUCUCUUUCUUUCUUUUUUUUUUCCAGAAUGCAACCCAGCGGGUGCAUUAUCGACUAUAGGAGAAAAGGUCAGACGACCAUACAACACCGACCAAGCGGCAACACACCGUCCAAACGGUUACAACGCCACCAAGUGGCUAAGGUCUCAAACACCUAUGUUGGCGGCGUCCACCGACUACCUCUUAGAACAGGAAAGGAAACCCUAUCCCUAAAGAGCCCAGCCAACUCCCAACGCGCCGCCUCCUCCACGAUCCCGUGCAGCACCUGAUGAACCGAAGGAGUCGCCCCAUUGAAGACAACGUCGUUCCUAUGAUGCCAGAUGGCCCAAGAGACCAAUCCGAAUGCCGUCCAGACGUCCUUUCUGUCUCCAGCGGGCACCGACAGUGAAGUCCACCAGACUUUGAUAUCGACCUCCCCGGUCGGCAGCCAUUCAGGAUGGCCCCAAGCCAUGAGCAAAGGAGACCAAACCUGACGAGAGAACACACAACCCAGCAACAGGUGAG
RNAcentral lists this long non-coding RNA (736 nucleotides) under Brachypodium distachyon (stiff brome). RNAcentral's name for it is "long non-coding RNA (BDIS_LNC000667)". The record is from RNAcentral. Lineage: Eukaryota; Viridiplantae; Streptophyta; Magnoliopsida; Poales; Poaceae.